RNAcentral lists this ribosomal RNA (243 nucleotides) under uncultured fungus. RNAcentral's name for it is "partial 26S ribosomal RNA". It matches the Rfam family "Eukaryotic large subunit ribosomal RNA", at positions 39 to 282 of the family's 3401-position model. The record is from RNAcentral. Lineage: Eukaryota; Fungi.
CAUAUCAAUAAGCGGAGGAAAAGAAACCAACAGGGAUUGCCCUAGUAACGGCGAGUGAAGCGGCAACAGCUCAAAUUUGAAAUCUGGCUACUUUGUAGUCCGAGUUGUAAUUUGUAGAGGAUGCUUUUGGUGAGGUGCCUUCCGAGUUCCCUGGAACGGGACGCCAUAGAGGGUGAGAGCCCCGUACGGUUGGAUGCCAAACCUUUGUAUAGCUCCUUCAACGAGUCGAGUAGUUUGGGAAUG